Molecule: ribosomal RNA, 580 nt
Filed under: uncultured bacterium
Lineage: Bacteria
Description: bacterial SSU rRNA
Rfam family: Bacterial small subunit ribosomal RNA
Source: RNAcentral
CCUACGGGAGGCAGCAGUAAGGAAUAUUGGGCAAUGGGCGCAAGCCUGAUCCAGCCAUGCCGCGUGAAGGAUUAAGGUCCUCUGGAUUGUAAACUUCUUUUAUAGGGGACGAAAAAAGGGCAUUCUUGCUCACUUGACGGUACCCUAUGAAUAAGCACCGGCUAACUCCGUGCCAGCAGCCGCGGUAAUACGGAGGGUGCAAGCGUUAUCCGGAUUCACUGGGUUUAAAGGGUGCGUAGGCGGGCAGGUAAGUCAGUGGUGAAAUCCUAGAGCUUAACUCUAGAACUGCCAUUGAUACUAUCUGUCUUGAAUAUUGUGGAGGUAAGCGGAAUAUGCCAUGUAGCGGUGAAAUGCUUAGAUAUGACAUAGAACACCUAUUGCGAAGGCAGCUUACUACGCAUAUAUUGACGCUGAGGCACGAAAGCGUGGGGAUCAAACAGGAUUAGAUACCCUGGUAGUCCACGCCCUAAACGAUGGAUACUCGACAUACGCGAUACACUGUGUGUGUCUGAGCGAAAGCAUUAAGUAUCCCACCCUGGGAAGUACGUCCGCAAAGGAUGAAACUUAAAGGAAUUGACGG